CCUACCGGGAGGGCGAGCAGGUAGGGGAAUAUUGCUCAAUGGGGGAAACCCUGAAGCAGCAACGCCGCGUGGAGGAUGAAGGUUUUCGGAUUGUAAACUCCUUUUGUUAGAGAAGAUAAUGACGGUAUCUAACGAAUAAGCACCGGCUAACUCCGUGCC
RNAcentral lists this ribosomal RNA (159 nucleotides) under uncultured bacterium. Its description in RNAcentral is "partial 16S ribosomal RNA". It matches the Rfam family "Bacterial small subunit ribosomal RNA", at positions 338 to 509 of the family's 1533-position model. The record is from RNAcentral.